This 463-nucleotide ribosomal RNA is filed under the name uncultured bacterium. RNAcentral describes it as "partial 16S ribosomal RNA". It matches the Rfam family "Bacterial small subunit ribosomal RNA", at positions 28 to 507 of the family's 1533-position model. The record is from RNAcentral.
GAUGAACGCUGACAGAAUGCUUAACACAUGCAAGUCUUUGGCGAAUCUGUGCUUGCACCGGCUAGCCAAGGCGGACGGGUGAGUAACGCGUAAAGAACUUGCCCUGCAGACAGGGAUAACAGACGGAAACGACUGAUAACACCUGAUACAGUUGCCGGCACGCAUGUGCCUGGCAAUGAAAAGAGAUGCUGCAGGAGAGCUUUGCGUCCUAUUAGCUUGUUGGUGAGGUGACGGCUCACCAAGGCGAUGAUAGGUAGCCGGCCUGAGAGGGUGAACGGCCACAAGGGGACUGAGAUACGGCCCUUACUCCUACGGGAGGCAGCAGUGGGGAAUAGUGGACAAUGGGGGCAACCCUGAUCCAGCAAUUCUGUGUGCACGAAGAAGGUUUUCGGAUUGUAAAGUGCUUUCAGCAGGGAAGAAGAAAGUGACGGUACCUGCAGAAGAAGCGACGGCUAAAUACGUG